CGCAGGCUGUGCUGCAAGUCAGCUGUGAAAUAUCUGGGCUUAACCUGGAUAUGCGGUUGAGACUGCAGUGCUGGAGUGCUGUAGAGGCAAGUGGAAUUCCCAGUGUAGCGGUGAAAUUCGUAGAUAUUCGCAAGAACACCAGUGGCGAAGGCGGCUCACUGGGCCAUUACUGACGCUGAGGCACGAAAGCGUGGGGAGCAAACA
Molecule: ribosomal RNA, 204 nt
Filed under: uncultured bacterium
Lineage: Bacteria
Description: partial 16S ribosomal RNA
Rfam family: Bacterial small subunit ribosomal RNA
Source: RNAcentral